Molecule: long non-coding RNA, 628 nt
Filed under: Fukomys damarensis (Damara mole-rat)
Lineage: Eukaryota; Metazoa; Chordata; Mammalia; Rodentia; Bathyergidae
Description: lncRNA (ENSFDAG00000031028.1)
Source: RNAcentral
GUUAGGGAACUGGUCCAUACUACCUGAGAGAUGGUCGCUAACUAACGUCCUCUCUUUGCAGCAAACUUUAAAACCAAAGGCAGCAGCCCUGCUCCUUUUUUCUUGAGAAACAGCGCCACCUUCAGGUCAUAUUGGCCACAACAGCUAUCCGUGGAGCUGUCUGCUGAACAGGAGCGGUUUGGCAGAUGCUUAUCACAGUCACCAGCUGACCGAGCUCCCCCCCUACUGAUUCCUUGUGAAAUCUUAUAAAGAAGGGGAAAUAAGAAGCAAAAUGGAGGAAAUCAAGACUCAGGCCCCGCAGUGGCAGAGCCAGCAUCCGGUUUGAACGCGCAGCCGCACACAUGCGCAGUCGUGCUCUCAGCAAAAGCAUGGCCGCUGCGCGUUUUCGGAGAGUUUAUUUCGCGACACACUGUUGCAACCAGCAGUUGGGAGGCAGAGGCGCUCAAGAGCUCUGUUUGUUUCUCAGAAGUGUGCUUCCCUACGAAGAACACAGCCCCUGUCUCUGCCAGCCGUGCUCAGCAGCAGCUCCCCGAGCCACUGGACACACAGCUGUGUUAAGGCCCAUCCCUGUCAAAGGCUGACACUUCCAGUGCUGGUGACCCGGCCCCCUGAGGAACUGGCUCUCCUG